CAGUCGCCACGGGAAUACGGAGGGGGCUAGCGUUGUACGGAAUUACUGGGCGUAAAGCGCACGUAGGCGGCUUUGUAAGUUAGAGGUGAAAGCCUGGAGCUCAACUCCAGAAUUGCCUUUAAGACUGCAUCGCUUGAAUCGCGGAGAGGUGAGUGGAAUUCCGAGUGUAGAGGUGAAAUUCGUAGAUAUUCGGAAGAACAUCAGUGGCGAAGGCGGCUUACUGGCUCAUUCUAGACGCUGAGGUGCGAAAGCGUGGGGAGCAAACAGGAUUAGAUACCCCUGUAGUCCCUGUCUCUUAUAU
Molecule: ribosomal RNA, 301 nt
Filed under: uncultured bacterium
Lineage: Bacteria
Description: partial 16S ribosomal RNA
Rfam family: Bacterial small subunit ribosomal RNA
Source: RNAcentral